AAGCGAAACGGGGGGCGUUCCCCCGUCUGCCUGGCGUGGUGGCCAGGCACUGAUGAGCAGCCGACC
Molecule: non-coding RNA, 66 nt
Filed under: Aeromonas caviae
Lineage: Bacteria; Pseudomonadati; Pseudomonadota; Gammaproteobacteria; Aeromonadales; Aeromonadaceae
Source: RNAcentral